Molecule: long non-coding RNA, 2129 nt
Organism: Chrysolophus pictus (golden pheasant)
Lineage: Eukaryota; Metazoa; Chordata; Aves; Galliformes; Phasianidae
Source: Ensembl
UUCCUCUUCCCCUUCCAAUUUCUCUUCCCCUUCUCAUUCCCUUUCCACCUUCAUCUUAAUUCUUUCCCUUCUCAUUACUGUCUCUUUCCCCCUUCCCCUUGCACUUCACCUUCCACUUACCUUUCUCCUUACUCUUAUCCUUCUCCCUUACCCUUAUGCUUACCCUUAUCCUUUGCCCUUCCUGUUCCCUUUCCCCCUUACACUUAACUUACACUUUGCUCUUCCUUUACUCUUUCAUUCUUUAUUCAUUCUCCUUCCCAAUCUCCUACCCUCUUUCUUCCACUUUCCCCUUUCCUUUGCACUUCCCCUUCCCUUUCUCCUCCCCCUUACUUUUCUCUCUUAUCCUUUGCCCUUCCCCUUUCACUUCCACCUAAUUCUUACUUUUACUCACUCCCCUUCCCCUCCCCUUCCCUUACUGAUUUCCCCUUCCCCUUCUCCUGCUUCUUCUUCCUCCUGUGCUUCCCCUUCUCUUUUUCCUUUCCCUUUGCCCCUCCCCUCCUCUUCUCUUUUCCUUCCAUCUUUUCCUUGCUCUAUCCCCUUACUUUCCCCCUCACAUUCCCUUUUCUUUAUCCCUUUCCCCUUCCAAUUUCCCUUAGCCCUUUCCAUUCAACUCCCAUCUUCCCCUUUCCCCUUCUCAUUCCCCUUCCCCUUCCUUUCCAUUCCUCUUUNNNNNNNNNNNNNNNNNNNNNNNNNNNNNNUUUCCCUUCUGCUUUGCUAUCAUCCUUCUCCUUUCCCAUCUCCUUCCCCUUGCUUUCCAAUUCCCCUGUUUCCCUCCCCCUCCAUUCCACAAUUCCCUCGCUUACCUGCUCCCACAUUUCUCCUUUCCCCUUCUUUCAUUUCCUCUUUAACCUUCCCCAUUCCCUUCCCCUGCCCACCCCCUUUCCCUUUCCUCUUCUCCCUUUCCUUUUCCCUUCCUCUUUCUCCAUCCAUUUCCCCUUCAUCCUUCCCUUUCUUCUUCUUCUCCACCCUUCCCCUUUCCUUUUCAUCUUCUCCCGUCCCCUACCUGUUCCCCUUCCACCUUCCCUUUCUCCUUCCUCUUCUCCCUUCCCCUUCUACCUGUUUCCUUCCCAUCUUCCCCUUUCCCAUUCUCCUUUCCUUCUCCUUCCUCUUUUUCCUUUCACCACCUGAUCUCCUCUCACCUUCCCCUUCUUCUUGCCCUUCCCCUUCCCUCUUCUUGUCUUCCCCAUCCCCUCUCCCUGCUCUUUACGCCUCUCUCCUCUUCCCUUUCUCCUUCCCCUCCCAUUUCCUUUUCCCCUUCCCUCCCCCCUCUCCUUUCCCUUUCCACUUCCUCUUCCUUUUCCUCCUUCCCCUUCGCCCUUCCUUUCCUUUUCCUUUCCCCUCCUGUUCCACUCCCCUUUCCCUUUCUCAUUCCCCCUUCUCUUUCCAUUUCCCCCACCCCCUUCCUCCUCCUGUUUCCCUUUCCCUCUCCCCUUUCUCUUCCUCCUUUCACGUCCCUUCCACUCCUCUUACCCUUUCACUCUCCCCUUCCUUUAUUUUUCCCCUUCAGUGAAUCCUUCAUCUUCAGUCUUCUCCUACACCUUUCUCCUUCUCUUCUCCUUCUCCCUUCCUCUUUUCCCUUCUCCAUCCCCUUCCCCUUCACUUCCUCUUCCUCCUUUUUCUCCCCCUUCCCUAUCCUCCUUCCCCAUAUCCUUUCCCCUUCCCCAUCUCCAUUCCCCUGCCUCCUUCCCCUUCCCCCUUCUUCUUCUCCCUUCUCUUUCACCUGCCACUUCUCUUCCUUUUUCCUUUGCCUUCCUCUUCCCUUCCCAUUCUCCUUAUUCCAGCUUCUUCCAUUUUCAUUCCCCUUCCUCUUCUCCCUUACCCUUAUUCUUUGCCCUUCCCCUUCCCCAGCUGUCUCCAGUUCACCCCCAACUUUGUCACUAUGGUGCCAUCUCCAUGUCCCCAGUAUCCCCAGUGCCUCCACUGUCCCCAGUGUCCCCAGUGUCCCCAUGUCCCCCACUAUCCCCAAUGCCUACAAUAUCCCCAUUGCUCCCAUUGCACACAAUGUCCCUAUUGUCCCCCUCCAAAAAAAGCACUUUGCACCAGCCCCAUUGUCACCCCCCAUGCUGUGACCCACAUCCUGUAUCACCGUGGCUAGGAGGUGUAUGUCACUCCCCCUCGGAGUGACUCAU